Long non-coding RNA from Sycon ciliatum, 1881 nucleotides. RefSeq lists it as uncharacterized. Lineage: Eukaryota; Metazoa; Porifera; Calcarea; Leucosolenida; Sycettidae. The record is from RefSeq and is a predicted model, not a curated record. The transcript is spliced from 2 exons.
GUCAUGAAAAUUAUUUUGAAAAUGAAUGAAUAUUCAGAAAAUAAGCAUGAUUAUUUUCUGGAUAUUCAUUCAUUUUCACAUCCUGCAUGCAGGAAGAAAGUUUUUGAUGAAGAAGCUACGUACUAAACUAAAGCAACGAGUUACCUUGCUUUCUCCCCAAAUGGCGAAAGCUCCAGGGCGUUUUGGCCUCCAUUACCAUAAUUAUUACUGUGGAGUUUGGAAGAGUCCAAUUUAGAAGCGUCGCUUUGUGGCCAAAUGCAACCGCUAAGAAGAACAUAAUGAUUCCACUCUUGCCGUAGGAGUCUGGCAAUCAAGGUAAUUAGGGUUGCUGCGCUUACCGCUUGAGAAUAUCCAGAAAGAGGACACGGCACGAAGCCUUUUUGGACGGUGGGACAGGCAAACGAAGCGAUGUUCAUGCUGAGGCGCAUUGGCAAAAUGGCAAUGUUGGUUCGGUUGCAGUCUCUGCACGCUCUUCGACGGUGUGGAUGACACGCUCAUUAGGAUUCCUUCACGGAAGACGGUGUUGUAGCUAACACCACGGCAUUCUGAUUCAGACUCAUUCCGCCAUGAACCAACCAACGACACUCGCACAGCUUGACUCGUACUUCCCCAGCUCUGGGAGUCUUGUCCGUUGCUCGUAUGUGACACAAUACUUGCACAAGCACAAGCCCGGAACAAAGAUUGCACAUCUUGACGGCAUGCUUCGAUCGUACUGCCUCCGAGGCUUGUACCCCAGUCGACGUUGGUGCUGCAGUGCAGGCUGAAUGAGGCUGGUUGCAGAGACGGAGGAAGUGGAGGAUUUGAUCAAGCACAGUGCAGCUAGCUGCUACAGGACAAGCCAUGUUGUACCACAGUGAUGGCUCGCAAAGCUACAAGCUAUGUAACAGGAUACAUGGACGGUUGGUUGGUUGGUGGUGAUGGUGAUGACAUCACAGUGCUGCUGUGCAUGGCUUGAUUGAGCACUGUACUAAGGCAGGACCAGUGAGUGGAACACUCACUGUACUGCACAUGUGAUUCGCGCAGACCUGUUUACCGGAGUGGUCUGCGUAUGCAGGUACAGUCAGACCGCGCAUAACCGCACACAUCCGUUUUCCACAAAACUAUCCGGAAUUGUCGAGGGAACCGGAUAAUCGAACACACAUACUGUAUGUAUGCAUGCCAUAUGCUGUAAAUUGGUAACCAACGACUUUCUUCUGGAUGGCGAGGGAUCCGGAUAAACGAGGACCGGAUAAGCGACGUCUGACUGUACAUUCUGUGCUAUACUGUGGCCGGUGGCAACCAGACUUACCGAGAUGUGUAAGUAAGUGUAAAUUACAUGGAACUAACUCCGUGCAACCCGUAUGCAGGUCCGGCGGAACCAGUCCGGUUGGUCAGGCCCUGACCGGACCAACGUUCUGGCCACCAACAUGUAAGACGUCAUGUGCACCCGGCCGACAUACCAUGUACCAUGUGUGAAGGGCUGUGAUAUCGGGCUAUGAUAUCGGGCUGUGAUAUCAGGCUGUGAUAUCGGGCUAGGGCCAAUCCAGAACUGCUUCCGCCGGGUACUGGUAUGCCAUGUAGUCAAGUAGAGGGAACGGACUUCCUAUGCUGUGUACAUGUCAAUGAUAUCAUGCUAGCAGGUAGUGAUUGUCAUCAGUCAUGAUUGCCAGUUCUGGCCUUCCCCUCUCCCCCUCCCCAUCUACUGUUUUAUAAAGACGUUGACAAUGUUGGUGUCCAUUAAUAGUGUGUUUUGUCUGCUGCUGCUUUGGCUGGAUUUGCGUCAAUCAUGCAUGUGGUCUCAUCCAUAGUGUUUUUUCUGAAUCAUGCCAUCCUCAUUUCUUUCUUUUUUCUUUUGUCACCAUGCACUACUCAUGGUGCUUGCCUGGUGAGUUUCCCUUCUGA